CCUCGGGACGGACGCAGGGGACGCGCGUCGCCCUGGCCGCGGCUGGCCGGGUUCGGGCGCCAUGGAGCGCUACCCAGGCGCCUUGGACGAGGCUGUGGAUGGGGCCCGGCAGCAGGAGCGGCACUACCAGCUGCUGUCCGCGCUGCAGAGCCUAGUGAAAGAGCUGCCCAGCUCGUUCCAGCAGCGCCUGUCCUACACGACGCUCAGCGACCUGGCCCUGGCGCUCCUGGACGGGACCGUGUUCGAGAUCGUGCAGGGGCUGCUGGAGAUCCAGCACCUCACCGAGAAGAGCCUGUACAACCAGCGCCUGCGGCUGCAGAACGAGCACCGAGUGCUCAGGCAGGCGCUGCGACAGAAGCACCAGGAAGCCCAGCAGGCCUGCCGACCCCACAACUUGCCUGUGCUCCAGGCAGCUCAGCAGCGUGAGCUGGAGGCUGUGGAGCACCGGAUCCGUGAGGAGCAGCGGGCAAUGGACCAGAAGAUUGUCCUAGAGCUGGACCGGAAGGUAGCAGACCAGCAGAGCACACUGGAGAAGGCAGGGGUUGCUGGCUUCUAUGUGACCACCAACCCACAGGAGCUGACACUGCAGAUGAACCUGUUGGAACUCAUCAGGAAGCUGCAACAGAGGGGCUGCCAGGCAGGCAAGACAGCCCUGUGAUCAGCUGGGGUCUCUGCCAGUUAACCGCUGCCCGUCACACCUGAGAGACAGCUCUGUCCCUCUGUCACCGCAAGUGGCAGGAAGCUGAGUGGAACUUGUCCUUCUGACACCUGGCCACCACCUUCCCAGCUGCCUGCAGGAGAGGUCGACCGUCUGCAGAGAGGCCAAGUGGACCCCUGGCGAAGGUGCUCCUGACCCUGUGACAUCCGGUGACAAGGACGGGGCAUCCGAGGCAGGAAAUGAGCACCUGGGAAGUCCCUAGGGAUGGAGGGAGGAAGACAGAACAGUCCUGUCCAGCUGGGACGCCACUCGGCCCCCCGGCUGUCCCAGGGAAACAGCCACACCACCCUGGCAGGAACUCUUGCAAGGGAGCCUCGCCACAGUCUGCAUUCGGCCCGGGUGGCACUGGUGGCCUCGGCGUUCCUGUCCUCACCCUGAUGGCCGUGGCCACUGUGCAUUAGAAAUCAUGCUUGUCAGCUGUAGUUUCAGGCUGUGAAAAAGCUGUGUGGUCACAAGUGGAGAGUAAGUGCCGCGUCCCCGAACGAGUGUGGAGCGACCAGUGUCAGCUCAUCAGGAGGCACCCUGAAGGCACCCAGCCUGGCUGCGCCCCGCUCCGGCUGCAACCUGCCCCAGCUGCUCCUUCAUCGCCCCUUCCCGAAGCCUGGCUCAGCCCCAAGCCUUGAGCACCCUGCUCUGCUCCUGGGAGAAGCAAGGGCCGGGAAGGCCGCUGCCGCUAUGCUGGGGGCCUCAAGCCCAGGAAGGUGGCAACCGGGGUAGACAGAAUUGCCCCCACAUGGUGCUGCCUGGGUUAGGACAGAAAACACAACAGGGGGAUGACACUGGGGUAUUCGUGAAUUUACCUCACCUUAUUCCUCUAUCUGACUUGUCUGGAUUCUACCAAAGUUUUGCUCCACAGGGCAGGCAUUUAAAGAGAAAACAGACUAUAUUAAAUUCUAAAUGCA
This is an RNA transcript of Nyctereutes procyonoides (raccoon dog), 1620 nucleotides long. It is a transcript of the gene named DiGeorge syndrome critical region gene 6 like, with no coding region annotated. The record is from RefSeq and is a predicted model, not a curated record. Lineage: Eukaryota; Metazoa; Chordata; Mammalia; Carnivora; Canidae. The transcript has 6 exons.